UGAUACAACUCCUGACCAGUUUACUAAGU
Molecule: non-coding RNA, 29 nt
Filed under: Rattus norvegicus (Norway rat)
Lineage: Eukaryota; Metazoa; Chordata; Mammalia; Rodentia; Muridae
Source: RNAcentral